GGAUGUGAGGGCAAUCUGGCUGCGACAUCUGUCACCCCAUUGAUCGCCAGGGUUGAUUCGGCUGAUCUGGCUGGCUAGGCGGGUGUCCCCCUCCUCCCUCACCAAUCCAUGUGCAUUCCUCCUGAAGCUGUGCGCUCGGUCGAAGAGGACGACCUUCCCCUCCGAGGAGAGGACCGGUCUUUGGUCAAGGGUAUACGAGUAGCUGCGCUCCCCUGCUAGAACCUCCAAACAAGCUCUCAAGAUCUGAAGCAAAACCUUAACAGAAGUAAAAUUAUGGAGGAGCAGGAAAUUUUACUUAUAUAGAGUGCAUUUUUUUUGUUAUUUUCAGUGGAAAUGAGAUAGA
Molecule: small nuclear RNA, 343 nt
Filed under: Myotis davidii
Lineage: Eukaryota; Metazoa; Chordata; Mammalia; Chiroptera; Vespertilionidae
Description: 7SK RNA
Rfam family: 7SK RNA
About the family: 7SK was discovered as an abundant small nuclear RNA in the mid-70s but a possible function has only recently been suggested. Two independent studies have found that 7SK RNA binds the CDK9/cyclin T complex (known as elongation factor P-TEFb).
Source: Rfam by way of RNAcentral